RNAcentral lists this ribosomal RNA (393 nucleotides) under uncultured bacterium. Its description in RNAcentral is "partial 16S ribosomal RNA". It matches the Rfam family "Bacterial small subunit ribosomal RNA", at positions 523 to 918 of the family's 1533-position model. The record is from RNAcentral.
AUACGGAGGAUCCGAGCGUUAUCCGGAUUUAUUGGGUUUAAAGGGAGCGUAGGUGGACAGUUAAGUCAGUUGUGAAAGUUUGCGGCUCAACCGUAAAAUUGCAGUUGAUACUGGCUGUCUUGAGUACAGUAGAGGAGGGCGGAAUUCGUGGGGUAGCGGUGAAAUGCUUAGGUAUCACGAAGAACUCCGAUUGCGAAGGCAGCUCACUGGACUGCAACUGACACUGAUGCUCGAAAGUGUGGGUAUCAAACAGGAUUAGAUACCCUGGUAGUCCACACAGUAAACGAUGAAUACUCGCUGUUUGCGAUAUACAGUAAGCGGCCAAGCGAAAGCAUUAAGUAUUCCACCUGGGGAGUACGCCGGCAACGGUGAAACUUAAAGGAAUUGGCGGGG